RNAcentral lists this ribosomal RNA (468 nucleotides) under uncultured bacterium. RNAcentral describes it as "partial 16S ribosomal RNA". It matches the Rfam family "Bacterial small subunit ribosomal RNA", at positions 28 to 507 of the family's 1533-position model. The record is from RNAcentral.
GACGAACGCUGGCGGCGUGCUUAACACAUGCAAGUCGAACGGAAAGGCCCUGCUUUUGUGGGGUGCUCGAGUGGCGAACGGGUGAGUAACACGUGAGUAACCUGCCCUUGACUUUGGGAUAACUUCAGGAAACUGGGGCUAAUACCGGAUAGGAGCUCCUUCUGCAUGGUGGGGGUUGGAAAGUUUCGGCGGUUGGGGAUGGACUCGCGGCUUAUCAGCUUGUUGGUGGGGUAGUGGCUUACCAAGGCUUUGACGGGUAGCCGGCCUGAGAGGGUGACCGGCCACAUUGGGACUGAGAUACGGCCCAGACUCCUACGGGAGGAAGCAGUGGGGAAUAUUGCACAAUGGGCGGAAGCCUGAUGCAGCAACGCCGCGUGCGGGAUGACGGCCUUCGGGUUGUAAACCGCUUUCGCCUGUGACGAAGAGUGAGUGACGGUAAUGGGUAAAGAAGCACCGGCUAACUACGUG